GACGAACGCUGGCGGCGUGCUUAACACAUGCAAGUCGAACGGAAAGGCCCUGCUUGCCGGGUGCUCGAGUGGCGAACGGGUGAGUAACACGUGGGUGAUCUGCCCCUUACUUUGGGAUAAGCCUGGGAAACUGGGUCUAAUACUGGAUAGGACCAUGCUGUAGGUGGUGUGGUGGAAAGAUUAGUUUCGGUGAGGGAUGAGCUCGCGGCCUAUCAGCUUGUUGGUGGGGUAAUGGCCUACCAAGGCGUCGACGGGUAGCCGGCCUGAGAGGGUGGACGGCCACAUUGGGACUGAGAUACGGCCCAGACUCCUACGGGAGGCAGCAGUGGGGAAUAUUGCACAAUGGGCGCAAGCCUGAUGCAGCGACGCCGCGGGGGGGAUGACGGCCUUCGGGUUGUAAACUCCUUUCAGCCAUGACGAAGCCCUUGUGGUGACGGUAGUGGUAGAAGAAGCACCGGCUAACUACGUG
RNAcentral lists this ribosomal RNA (469 nucleotides) under uncultured bacterium. RNAcentral's name for it is "partial 16S ribosomal RNA". It matches the Rfam family "Bacterial small subunit ribosomal RNA", at positions 28 to 507 of the family's 1533-position model. The record is from RNAcentral.